CUCAUUAAAUCAGUUAUAGUUUAUUUGAUGGUCUCUUUUGUUUCUCUUUUUUACCUACUUGGAUAACCGUGGUAAUUCUAGAGCUAAUACAUGCGUAAGGUCCCAAGCGCGGGGCGGGCGGGGCGUCAAAACCUCGUCCGUUCGCAUGCGCGGCGGGAUGUAUUUAUUAGGUUAAAAACCAGCAGCCAGCAAUGGCUACAAUCUCCUGGUGAUUCAUAGUAACUUUUUCGGAUCGCAUUCAUG
RNAcentral lists this ribosomal RNA (243 nucleotides) under uncultured Acanthamoeba. Its description in RNAcentral is "partial 18S ribosomal RNA". It matches the Rfam family "Eukaryotic small subunit ribosomal RNA", at positions 97 to 279 of the family's 1831-position model. Lineage: Eukaryota; Discosea; Longamoebia; Acanthamoebidae. The record is from RNAcentral.